This 424-nucleotide ribosomal RNA is filed under the name uncultured bacterium. RNAcentral describes it as "bacterial SSU rRNA". It matches the Rfam family "Bacterial small subunit ribosomal RNA", at positions 355 to 776 of the family's 1533-position model. The record is from RNAcentral.
UGAGGAAUAUUGGUCAAUGGGCGCGAGCCUGAACCAGCCAAGUCGCGUGAGGGAAGACGGUCCUACGGAUUGUAAACCUCUUUUGUCGGGGAGCAAUAAGGCGUACGUGUACGCAGAUGCGAGUACCCGAAGAAAAAGCAUCGGCUAACUCCGUGCCCGGAGCCGCGGUAAUACGGAGGAUGCGAGCGUUAUCCGGAUUUAUUGGGUUUAAAGGGUGCGCAGGCGGAAAGUGCAAGUCAGCGGUCAAACGACGGGGCUCAACCCCGUCUCGCCGUUGAAACUGGCGUCCUAGAGUGGGCGAGAAGUAUGCGGAAUGCGUGGUGUAGCGGUGAAAUGCAUAGAUAUCACGCAGAACUCCGAUUGCGAAGGCAGCAUACCGGCGCCCCACUGACGCUCAUGCACGAAAGCGUGGGUAUCGAACAGG